RNAcentral lists this long non-coding RNA (387 nucleotides) under Mytilus galloprovincialis (Mediterranean mussel). The record is from RNAcentral. Lineage: Eukaryota; Metazoa; Mollusca; Bivalvia; Mytilida; Mytilidae.
UAAUAAAAAAAAUAUCCUAAUAUGCUAACAUUUUUGCAAAUAGAACUUUGUGUAAAAAAGGACACAUCCACCACAAAGGAGUACAAUACCUCAAUUGAGCGGAGCACAUACACAAAAAAUGACCACAAUUCACCUCAAAGGACCAGAAUGCACUAACAGGGAGUACAAUGCUCCACAAAGGGGUACUUACAUAAAUAGGAGUAAAAUGCACAACAAAUGAGUACAUUGCGCAGCAAAUGGGAACAAUACACCGAAAGGAGUACAAUGCAGCACAAAGGAGCACAUACACAACAAAAGACCACAAUUAACCACAAAAGAGUGUAAACACAUUAAAGGAGAACAAUACACCACAAAGGAGCACAUACACAACAAAGGACCACAAUUAAC